RNAcentral lists this ribosomal RNA (242 nucleotides) under uncultured bacterium. Its description in RNAcentral is "partial 16S ribosomal RNA". It matches the Rfam family "Bacterial small subunit ribosomal RNA", at positions 87 to 334 of the family's 1533-position model. The record is from RNAcentral.
GCUGACGAGUGGCGGACGGGUGAGUAAAGUAUGGGGAUCUGCCAAAUGAGGGGGACAACAGUUGGAAACGACUGCUAAUACCGCAUAAAGUUGAGAGACCAAAGCAUGGGACUUUCGGGCCAUGCGCCAUUGAUGAACCCAUAUGGGAUUAGCUAGUUGGUAGGGUAAAGGCUUACCAAGGCGACGAUCUCUAGCUGGUCUGAGAGGAUGACCAGCCACACUGGGACUGAGACACGGCCCAG